Molecule: long non-coding RNA, 3416 nt
Organism: Solanum dulcamara
Lineage: Eukaryota; Viridiplantae; Streptophyta; Magnoliopsida; Solanales; Solanaceae
Exons: 2
Source: RefSeq, a predicted model, not a curated record
UAUAGUGAGACCACUAUAGCGGGAAUUUAUCUACUAUAGCGGGGCCUCUACAAUGGAGCAAGGCCGCUAUAACGGCCUUUAUCAUUUCAGAAUUCCAAGAGAUACGUUAAUGGCUUCUCUUGAUCUGAAACCCUAUUUUAAGGGUCUGAAUAUGGGCUCUAGCUUGCGACUCUACAGGUGAUAAAUUUUGGUAAGUCAUUUUAGGAUUUGUUGAGAAUGCUAAGAAUGUAAAACUGGAUUUUUACGCGAGAAGAAGGACAAGAAGGAUGGUGAUUUCAAUAGGUCCUUUUCUAAGAGACCAUUUCUGUUGGCACCAAUUUCUGAGGGGUAUUCUGAACGUCCUGUUCAGUCAGCAAUGCAUGUAUCAUCUUGGGAUUCAUCUGGGACCAGUCAACAACCAUCAGGGCAGAGAUGAUAUUCUAUCUCUUUUACUUCAAUAUAGAGGACGACUUUGGACCAAAUCUGCUAUGAGUGUGGUCAGACAUGGUAUAUUCAUAAAUAGCAGGCUGAAAUUUCAUAAAAACCAAUUGUGAAAUUGGGACUCGCCGUUACCUGAGAUAUAUAAAAUACAUAGUGCAAGUAUCCCAAAUUUAUGCAUACUAUACUUAUAAUUUCACAACAGCAGACUUCACAAGGAAUUGUUCCAACUGGUAGAUGAGGGAGUCCAUUUAGGAGGGAUCAUUCUCAGCUUGGGCGAGGUGGAUCCAAGCCUAGUAGGGGUGGCACUCAAUCUAACAGAGGUGACGGUCAGAUAGGUGGAUGCAGUACUCAGCCUUGUAAAGGCAAUUCCUAAACAGGGGGAAGGGCUCAUUUCUAUUUUUUUCACAUAGACUUGAGGUGGAGAAAUUCAAUGCAGUGAUUACAUGUAUCCUUCUUAUUUGUGACUAGAUGGAUACAUUCUUAUUUGAUUUCGGUUCCACCUUUUCUUAUGUAUCCUCCAAUUUGUUCUGUUGGUCUAGAUAUGAUUUGUGAGUCUAUUGAUGUUUCUAUACAUGUCUACUCUGGUGGAGGGGAUUCUGUGAUAGUUGAUAUAGUCCACCAUUCCUGUUAUGUGACUUUUAUGGAAUAUUAGACGUGGGUAGAUUUAGUGAUCCUAGAUAUGAUCGAUUUUGAUAUUAUUUUGGGGUUGAGUUGGUUAUCUUUGUAUCAUGCUAUCUUAGACUAGCACAUGAAAUCUGUCUCUAUUUCUAUGUCUGCAUGUCUAGAUUGUAGUGGAAGGAGAAAAAUCCUUUAUUCAUAAGUCCAUAAUCUGAUCUAGGUAAAUUCAUGAACUUCAUUGGAUUAUUCCUUCUGACUAAGCAUAUGUACCAUGAAUUGUUUUAGUAAGAUAAUUUAAUCAAUCCCUUGUUUUGAAAGAACUCUUCAAGGACCAAACGGUCCCUUUCCUUCAUACUUCAUAUAAAUAAAUCUAAAACCUCAGAGUAUAUCUUUCCACAAAUAUUUUCCUAAGAAAAUAUUAUCCUAUAUUCGUGCGAAGAAGUUACUAGAAAGUGGAUGUUUAGCAUUUUUGGCUCAUCUCUGAGAAACUAGGAAAGAGGUCCUUUCUAUUGGGUCAGUUCUAGUGGUGUAUUAUUUUUUAGAGGUGUUUCUUGUUGACCUACGUGAUAUGCCACCAGACCGUGAUGUUGAUUUUAUUAUUGACUUAGAGCUGGGGAAUCAUCUCAUUUUUAUUCUGCCAUAUUGGAUGAUACCCUCUAAGUUGAGGGAACUGAAAGUUCAGUUAUAAGAUUUGUUUAGUAAGGGGUUUAUUUGUCUGAGUGCAUCUCCUUGGGGUGCUCCAAAUAUAGGAGUAUGUUUAUGUGUAUUGACCACCAUCAAUUGAAAAAGUUCAUAUGUGUAUUGACUUACAUUAGUUGAACAAGGUCAUAUGUGUAUUGACUUACAUCAGUUGAACAAGGUCACUAUUCGAAAUAAGUAUCCUCUUGGCUACAUUAAUGACUUGUUUGAAUAGUUGCAGAUGCGUUAGUCUUUACUAAAAUUGACUUGAGGUCUAAAUGUCAUCAACUUAAGAUUCAGACUAAAAAAUAUUCCUAAGAUAACUUUUUGAACUAGGUAUGAGCAUUAUGUGUUUUUGGUUAUGACUUUCGGACUUACUAAUGCUCCUGUAACUUUUUGAGCUUGAUGAAUGAUAUUUUCAAACCAUAUCUAAAUUCGUUCAUUAUUGUGUUCGUUGAUAAUAUCUUAGUGUAUUUUAAGAGUAAAGAGAAGCAUGAGAAUCACCUUAGGAUUGUGUUGGGGUAGCUUAAAGAGAAGCAGUUGUAUGCUAAAUGUUUUAAGUGUGAGUUCUGACUGUCUUUAGACACUACAAGAAAAAAAGCCUUAUUUAUGACCAAUAUUUAGGGACGAGUUAGUAAUCUCUCUCUAAAAGUAUAUAUAUUGGGACGAGAUGAUAUUCCGAUCCUUAAUGUUGUGUUUUAUUAGGAAGAUAAAAAAUUUUGGUCCUUAAGAAAAGUAGUAGCCGGUCCCAAAUUGUAAUUGAGAGCAUUUAGCAAGAGGGACUGCCGCCAAAAUUUAUUAAAAUUGUAAUAAAACAUAAACUUUUCUUUCACUGAAACUUAGGUGGGAAAAGAAUUAUUUUUCUGAAAAAUUGGAUAAACUCUCUCUUCUCUCAAAAUUCUUUCACUAAAACUUAGGCGGGUAAAGAAUUAUUUUUCUGAAAAAUUGGAGAAAACUCUCUGUUUUCUCUCAAAAUUCUUUCACUAAAACUUAGGUGGGAAAAGAAUUAUUUUUCUGAAAUAUUGGACAAAACUCCCUGUUUUCUCUCAAAACUCAAUGGUCACAAACUUUGCCCACCUCUGUACGUUGCCAUCACAGCUUUGCAAAUUCUUGAAGGUUGGAUUAAGGUUUCCUCCUGUCGCAAACUUGGAGACAUCUUUCCUCAACGUAUAGGUGUCUUCUUUCUUGGGUUAUCACAGCUCUACCCUAAUCUCUAUUUUCUAUCUAGCUCAAACUUCAAUUCCAGGUUAUGGCAUCUAGUAAGCAAUGGAUGCAACUUGCUCUUGAUAAUCGGGUCGACAAAACCUACUUAGACGGGGUUACAAAGUUCUUGAAUUAUGCUUUUCGGGGAUCAGAAGAAGAAUUUAAAAUUAGAUGUCCAUGUUACAAAUGUCGUAAUACAACACCAGAAACUCGUGAGACGAAUGAGACACAUUUGAAAGUAUAUGUAAUAAUUCAAAAUUAUACUUUCUAGUAACAUCAUGGCGAACAUUUAGGUGAGCCAGUAUUUGACUCUGAAGAUGAACAUGAUGAAAAAAAUAGAAGAUUGUGAGAGUGAAAUUGAAGUACAAGAGCUGUUGAGAGAUUUACAUCCAAAUGUUGAUGGAGGAGCUAGCCAUACUAAUUAUGAUGAUUUAUUUGAGGAGGAACCAAAUGUUGAAGCAAUUUUUUUUUUACAGUCUACUGAAGGAUUUUGAGUA